UCCUGCUCAAUAUUUGUAACUCUUUUUCUUAUCAAAUACUUUUAACUGAAAAUGCCAAUGGGGUCUCUUCUUUUGUUACUUUCUGUAGGUGUACAUGAUGCCGGCCUUUUGGUAGUCUUCUCCAUUUGCCUCUUCAGUGGCUGAAUUUAAUCACCAAGCUGCUUCUAACUCAACAGCUUGUGAGGAAACCUCAGAGACACAGACAUCAGCCAGAACAGAAAAAGACCUCUGGGUUUACAAGAGAAAUAAUUUUGUCCCCAUGAAGAAUUAAGGUCUUCUGCAGAACUUUCCAGAAAUGAGCAGUCUUAGAUGGCAAUGCUGAUUUGCAUGGAAACAGGGAAUCCUGAAUAUACAAUACAUGAGAAGAGAACUACUGGGUGUUUAGAUGGUGUGACACAUGGUAUGCAGGUAUGCAUGUUUAUAGCAAAUGGCUGUGUGACUCAUAGCCAAGGUACAACUUGUCAGGACCAGGAACAUCAUAUGGAAGAGAGCAGAUAAAACAAUGAAGAAAUUUGCUACUGCAGACUAGAUUCUGAGCACAAGAAAACAGUAGCUUGACCUGUGGAAAUGACCAUGAUCUUGAAAAUAUCUCUUUGGCAUUAGGAGUAAAGAACAAGGAUUAAAACAAACAUACAUGAACCCAUAUGGCUACACAGGGAAGCCAGUUUUCAAGAGUGUGUGUACCCCAAAACAAUCACAAGAAAUCAAAAAUUUUUUAAAAAGCAAAAAUUGACAAGUAGGAUCUAAUUAAACUCUGCACAGCAAAAGAAACUAUCAACAGUGUAAACAGACAAUCUACAGAAUGGGAGAAAAUAUUUUCAAACUAUGUAUCUGGCAAAUGUCUAAUAUCCAGGGUGUGUAAAGAACUUAAAUGCAUUUACAAGAGAAAAACAAGCAACUCGAUUAAAAAGUGGGCAAAGGACAUGAACAGACAUGAUUCAAAAGAAGACAUACAUGAAGCCAACAAGCAUAUGUAAAAAAGCUCAAUAUCAUUGUUUAUUAGAGAAAUGCAAAUCAAAACCACAAUGAGAUACCAUCUCACACCAGUCAGAAUGGCUACUAUUAAAAAGUCAAGAAACAACAGAUGCUGGCAAGGUUGUGGAGAAAAGGAACAAUUAUACACUGUUAGUGGGAAUAUAAAUUAGUUCAAUCAUUGUGGAAAGCAGUACGGCAAAUCCUUAAAGAGCUAAAAGCAGAACUACCGUUUGACCCAGCCAUCCCAUUACUGGGUAUAAUACCCAGAGAAAUAGAAAUCGUUCUGCCAGAAAGACACAUGCAAGCAAAUGCUCAUUGCAGAACUAUUUACAAUAGCAAAGGCAUGGAAUCAACCUAAAUGCCCAUUAAUGAUAGACUGGAUAAAGAAAAUGUGGUACAUAUACACCAUGGAAUACUAUGCAGCCAUAAAAAAGAACAAGAUCAUGUCUUUUGCAAAAACAUGGAUGGAGCUGGAGGCUAUUAUCCUUAGCAAACUAAUGCAGGAACAGAAAACUAAAUACCUCGUGUUCUCACUUAUAAGUGGAAGCUAAAUGUUGAGAACUUAAGAACACAAAGAAGGAAAAAAUAGACACUGGGGUCUACUUGAUGGGGGAAGGUGGGAGGAGGCAGAGGAGCAGAAAAGAUAACCAUUGAGUACUGGGCUUAAUAACCUGGGUAAUAAAAUAAUCUGUACAACAAACCUCCAUGACACUUGUUUACCUAUGUAACAAGCCUUCACAUGUACCCUCAAACUUAAAUAAAA
RNAcentral lists this long non-coding RNA (1738 nucleotides) under Homo sapiens (human). Its description in RNAcentral is "non-protein coding lnc-GATA3-7:3". Lineage: Eukaryota; Metazoa; Chordata; Mammalia; Primates; Hominidae. The record is from RNAcentral.